RNAcentral lists this ribosomal RNA (119 nucleotides) under Pteropus alecto (black flying fox). Lineage: Eukaryota; Metazoa; Chordata; Mammalia; Chiroptera; Pteropodidae. The record is from RNAcentral.
GUCUAUGGCCAUUCUACCCUGAACACACCCGAUCCCAUCUGAUCUCGGAAGCUAAGCAGAGUCGGGCCUGGUUAGUACUUGGAUGGGAGAUCACCUAGGAAGACCAGGUGCUAUAGGUG